Molecule: non-coding RNA, 89 nt
Organism: Bacillus amyloliquefaciens
Lineage: Bacteria; Bacillati; Bacillota; Bacilli; Caryophanales; Bacillaceae
Source: Rfam
UGGGCAGUAUCAUAAUGAACUGCACCCGAUCAGCAGAACAGAGAUUACGAAAAGUCUGCCUUGAUCCAAAAAAGGACUGGGACAGAGGG